Molecule: ribosomal RNA, 483 nt
Filed under: Streptococcus sp. oral taxon 056
Lineage: Bacteria; Bacillati; Bacillota; Bacilli; Lactobacillales; Streptococcaceae
Description: bacterial SSU rRNA
Rfam family: Bacterial small subunit ribosomal RNA
Source: RNAcentral
GACGAACGCUGGCGGCGUGCCUAAUACAUGCAAGUAGAACGCUGAAGGAGGAGCUUGCUCUUCUGGAAGAGUUGCGAACGGGUGAGUAACGCGUAGGUAACCUGCCUGGUAGCGGGGGAUAACUAUUGGAAACGAUAGCUAAUACCGCAUAAUAUUGAAUAUCGCAUGAUAAUUGAUUAAAAGAUGCAAUUGCAUUACUACCAGAUGGACCUGCGUUGUAUUAGCUAGUAGGUGAGGUAACGGCUCACCUAGGCGACGAUACAUAGCCGACCUGAGAGGGUGAUCGGCCACACUGGGACUGAGACACGGCCCAGACUCCUACGGGAGGCAGCAGUAGGGAAUCUUCGGCAAUGGGGGCAACCCUGACCGAGCAACGCCGCGUGAGUGAAGAAGGUUUUCGGAUCGUAAAGCUCUGUUGUAAGAGAAGAACGAGUGUGAGAGUGGAAAGUUCACACUGUGACGGUAUCUUACCAGAAAGGGACG